RNAcentral lists this long non-coding RNA (440 nucleotides) under Helianthus annuus (common sunflower). Its description in RNAcentral is "sRNA HanXRQr2_Chr03g0098671". The record is from RNAcentral. Lineage: Eukaryota; Viridiplantae; Streptophyta; Magnoliopsida; Asterales; Asteraceae.
CCCCCAAAUUCCUAACCCUAGGUCAAAAUCCAACACAUUUUGUCAUGCAAAUUGACCUAAUUGCAUAAAUUAUUGAUACCCUAGAUGAGAUGAGAUGAGAUCAGAGAGUGUUGUGAUGCUUGUUCAUCGUGCGGUUUGAGGGAGAGAGAUUCUUUCUGUAAGCUGUUGUGAAUAGUGAUGAAGGUCAAGACACUUCGGUUACACUACUUUAUAUAUUCUCUCUCUAAAUAUAUACAUACAUACAAACUUCUUUUUAGAGUAUAAACUGCGAUUUUGGUCCCUGAGAUUUGGUUAUUUUACCACUUUAGUCUAAAUUUGAAACCUGUUACAUCUGGGUCUCUAUGGUUUCAUUUUUGUUGCCAUUUUGUUCCAAAAAUCAAAUCAGGGAUGGAGGAAUGGAAUGUGCAGCUUGUGAAACGUUCGGUGACGGUUUGUGGUGA